This is a small nucleolar RNA of Sinocyclocheilus anshuiensis, 87 nucleotides long. The record is from Ensembl. NCBI's taxonomy places the organism in Eukaryota, Metazoa, Chordata, Actinopteri, Cypriniformes, Cyprinidae.
ACCUCCUACAAAGGCGCAGUUGCAUUGGCCUGCUUGCAAAUGCGUAAGAACUGGAGGAAAAGAAGCUGAAUGAUGUAUUUCAUAUUA